RNAcentral lists this ribosomal RNA (598 nucleotides) under Trichoderma reesei. RNAcentral's name for it is "eukaryotic LSU rRNA". The stretch from base 205 to 358 matches the Rfam family "5.8S ribosomal RNA". The record is from RNAcentral. Lineage: Eukaryota; Fungi; Ascomycota; Sordariomycetes; Hypocreales; Hypocreaceae.
AACCCCAAUGUGAACGUUACCAAUCUGUUGCCUCGGCGGGAUCUCUUAGCCCCGGGCGCGUCGCAGCCCCGGAUCCCAUGGCGCCCGCCGGAGGACCAACUCAAACUCUUUUUUCUCUCCGUCGCGGCUUCCGUCGCGGCUCUGUUUUAUUUUUGCUCUGAGCCUUUCUCGGCGACCCUAGCGGGCGUCUCGAAAAUGAAUCAAAACUUUCAACAACGGAUCUCUUGGUUCUGGCAUCGAUGAAGAACGCAGCGAAAUGCGAUAAGUAAUGUGAAUUGCAGAAUUCAGUGAAUCAUCGAAUCUUUGAACGCACAUUGCGCCCGCCAGUAUUCUGGCGGGCAUGCCUGUCCGAGCGUCAUUUCAACCCUCGAACCCCUCCGGGGGGUCGGCGUUUGGGGAUCGGCCCCUCACCGGGCCGCCCCCGAAAUCCAGUGGCGGUCUCGCCGCAGCCUCUCCUGCGCAGUAGUUUGCACACUCGCACCGGGAGCGCGGCGCGGCCACAGCCGUAAAACACCCCAAACUCUGAAAUGUUGACCUCGGAUCAGGUAGGAAUACCCGCUGAACUUAAGCAUAUCAAUAAAGCGGAGAAAAAUUCCCG